UACGCCCGUGUAGGUGCCGUUCCAUCUGCGCUCCGACGGCUCUUCGCCGUCUCGUCAGCGGCGGCCCGGCUGCUUUGAACGGACCUCUCCAUGUGCUAAGCUGCGGUUGCGGGGGAACAAACUCGCCUCGAUGUAUGAUGCCCUCUGACCAGCUGAAGCAUCGGGACUGCAAAUGGAGAGAAGAGGUGUUUACCGAAGACUUCCCUUCCUUAUAGCUGCAAGAAUUUCUCUGCAGGAUAAUUUUAAUUCUUUUGUUGAGCAUACACCUAUGCGUGCUUGUGCUCAACUGAAGCUCGAACUGGAGGAAAAGACAGGUUUCAUGUCAUGUGCCAUCAAGAUAGUCCAGACUUCCCUUCCUUACAGUUCCUGAUCCAUUUUUAAUAGCAAUGCUUGUUGAGCA
Long non-coding RNA from Triticum aestivum (bread wheat), 400 nucleotides. RefSeq lists it as uncharacterized. The record is from RefSeq and is a predicted model, not a curated record. NCBI's taxonomy places the organism in Eukaryota, Viridiplantae, Streptophyta, Magnoliopsida, Poales, Poaceae. The transcript has 2 exons.